AAUAACUUAAGCUUUGUCAACAUAUUUUUAUCUACGUUUACUAAAAGAUGUUGAUAGAAGCAUUAAUUUUCUACAGUUAUAUGCAACUGUGGAGCUAAAGAAAGGAAAUGAAUAUACUUAUUUCAACAGUUGUGAUAACUGUUGAGAUAAAUGUUACAAAUAAAGUGGCUCCCUUUUUUUUUUAUUCCUCACCAUAUAAAAAAAAAAAAGGAGUAGAUACAAAAUUUUAAUUGAGAAAAUUUUAUCCACGGGUGGAUAAAUGUUGAUAUUUCUAAUUAUGUUUUUUUUUUUUUUUUUUUUUUUCCACAGUUUGUAUACAAAAUUAUCUCUCCCUCAGAAAAACUUAAGUCUAUUUUCUUUGUAGAUCAAUUUCUUUUGGUUUCGUCUGCUUGAAUUGGAAAAUUUCAAUUUCAAGGCUUCGUACUAAGACCAGGUGGGCUUGCUGGUGCAACCAUUUUGUUGACUUCCAUGAGCACAAAGAGCAAUGCAAGACAGAAAAAUGGUAAAGCCUCAGAGAGAGAGAGAGAGAGAGAGAGAGAGAUGAGUUUUUCUAAAAGAUCAAUGAGGAGGCUCCUGAAAACAAUCCAGCAUACGCUACUAUCUAUGUUGGCAACCUCUCCCAUGAGGCGUGGACUAAUGGGAGGCUAAAGAGUAUUGUACACAGAGCAGUGGUAAACAAAGAGAAGCAAAGGCCCUUCAGAAAGCCAGGUGAUGUUCUAGCAGCUAUAGAAAAUUAUAUUGAAGAAGAUGGAACAAAGAGAAGCAAAGGCUCUUUAGAAAGCUAGGUGAUGUUCUAGCUGCAACAGAAAAUUAUAUUGAAGAACAUGGAACAGAAGCAUUUGAAAUGCUUAUAGCCACUAGCAAGGUAACUGGAGGUGGUGAGGAGUAGCUGGAACAUGUGGGACAAACUUAAGUUGUUUUUGUUCAUACUGCUACAUUUGCUUUGGUUAAAACGCAUGCAAAUUGUGUAAAUUUGAGGCAAUAUGUUCAGGAUAUUUUUUAUUUUGUAAAUUAUAUUAUAGUAGUAAAAUUUUGAAAUUGGUCGUUA
Quercus robur (English oak) is the source of this 1048-nucleotide long non-coding RNA. RefSeq lists it as uncharacterized. The transcript has 5 exons. NCBI's taxonomy places the organism in Eukaryota, Viridiplantae, Streptophyta, Magnoliopsida, Fagales, Fagaceae. The record is from RefSeq and is a predicted model, not a curated record.